UACGGAGGGUGCAAGCGUUAAUCGGAAUUACUGGGCGUAAAGCGCGCGUAGGUGGCUUGAUAAGCCGGUUGUGAAAGCCCCGGGCUCAACCUGGGGACGGCAUCCGGAACUGGCAAGCUAGAGUACAGGAGGGGAAGGUAGAAUCCCCGGUGUAGCGGUGAGAUGCGUAGAGAUCGGGAGGAAUACCAGUGGCGAAGGCGGCCUUCUGGACUGACACUGACGCUGAGGUGCGAAAGCGUGGGGAGCAAACAGG
RNAcentral lists this unclassified non-coding RNA (253 nucleotides) under uncultured Halomonadaceae bacterium. Its description in RNAcentral is "contains 16S-23S intergenic spacer region". It matches the Rfam family "Bacterial small subunit ribosomal RNA", at positions 524 to 776 of the family's 1533-position model. Lineage: Bacteria; Pseudomonadati; Pseudomonadota; Gammaproteobacteria; Oceanospirillales; Halomonadaceae. The record is from RNAcentral.